Molecule: long non-coding RNA, 1209 nt
Filed under: Phasianus colchicus (ring-necked pheasant)
Lineage: Eukaryota; Metazoa; Chordata; Aves; Galliformes; Phasianidae
Description: lncRNA (ENSPCLG00000013648.1)
Source: RNAcentral
AUGUUUGCACAGAGUGGGUGUGGGAAGGCUAUCAUCACCAUUUUGGGGGAUGUUCUUGCAUUUUCAGAUGUGGCAAGAGCUGUUGAGGUCCCCCAUGAGAACCCCAGCAGCCCUGCUCCAGGAUGCUUCAUCGUUGAGUUCCCUGACAACCCCAGGGACAGCAGAGAGCUCAGCACACAGGCUGCCUCCGGGUCACCCACCGACCCUUUCUGGGGGCUUCCACCAUCCCCUGGGUUCCUGCCUGAGCUGCAGUGUGGGUUGUCGCAGCUGUGCCCUGUCAUGCCACCUGUGAGUGCCCGGCUCAGUCCACAACUAACCACCUUGGCUGUCACCACACCUCCCUCAGCCCAAAGCGCACAGCCCACUGAGGAGGUGCAGCAAAGGGAGCCCCAGGUGGUUCAGGCUCACUCGCCUCCGUCACCAGGCUCUGUCCCCAGCCGGGUGGCAGAAAAGAAGAACAGGAGCAGCACCAAGCGGGCCAAGCGCCCUGAGCCUGCUGGCAUGCCCCAGAAAGGGGAGAGCUCCCAGCAGGAGCAGCCCACCAGCUGCACUCCAGCCAAGAAAAGGAAGCUGCCGCCAUGCAGGGAAAGAAUGGAGAGAAAAGGCCGCAAACACCCGUGCCAAGCAGAGCUGUCUGGGGCCAGCACAGGAGCCAGCAGCAGCGGGCAAGCGGGCACUGCCAGCGAGCUGCGCAUGCACUUGUUUAAAUCCAUCCAGGCCGUGCACCUGCUGGGGCAGAGGGUGACUGUGGUGGGGCCGGUGCGCCAGCCACCCUCUGUGUGGCCCCAAUCCUCACCCAGUGCUGGCCCUGCUGCCCUCCAGCCCCAACACAGCAGCACAGACAAGGCAGUGCUAGCAUCUCCAGGCAGCACGGUGCAAGAGGAGGGCACUGCCAAGAAGACAGCGCUGAGCUGCCUGUGCCCGUCCCUGCAGAGGAGCUCACUGCUGCAGAGGGACCCACCACCACCACCACCACCACCACCACCAGUGCUGCACCAGCAGCAGCCUCAGCCGCGACGCCCCGUGGACUUUGUGCCCUGCGAGGGGCCAUGGGCAGGCAGCGGUGCAGCACCCAUAGUGAUGGAGGAGUCGCUGCCCAUCACAGCCGAGCAGCGGCCCGAGCGGGAGCGCAUGAAGAAACUGGCCCAGGAGGAGCAGCAGCGGGCGGCCCAGCAGAUGAAGAUCGGCCCCGUGCAGUUCCUGGUGUAG